CCGGGUGGCCCGCAGCGCAGACAUCUUAGCGUGGGUGCCGGCGGCCGCGGAGACUCCGGCCGGGGCCGGAGGGGCGGGGCGGGGCGCUGGGGCAGCGGGGCGGUGCCGCGCAGGCCACCCGCUACGCCGAGCUGGGGCCCGGAGGGGUUUAACCCCCGCCAGCGCCGUCCCGCGCCACUGUGGAGAGCCUGGGCCAGGCGCUGUCCCGGUUUCGCGGGGGACGAGAGCGGGGGGGGGAGCUGUACGGCGCGCUCUGCGGCUUGGGCUGAGCAGCAGAGGCUGCCCGGCUCGGCGCAUGGCUGUUGUCUCCCGUCCACCUGCGGAGAACUUCAUUCACUGCGUUUGCUGCUUGCUCCCAAGCCAAGGGAAGGCCCGGGCUGUUGCUGCCGCCGAGUGUUGUAGAGAUUAAGGAAAGAAGGGAAAGAGUGCGUGGAGCCAAGACCGGGAUUCAAAGGCAUUUCUGCUAACUGACAGGAGCAACUGAGAUAAGGGCUUUAUCCCGUGGCACUCCACCAAGCAGAUCCCUCAAGAGGCCAGAGUCCACUCUCCUGAAGCCCAGGGUAGUGAGCUUGCUGCACACCCUCCUUGCCACCCUGAGGAUCUCAAACUCCACCAUUUCAUGGUCCACCUCUCCGGGCUCUGGGCAUCUAUGGUUGGCCCUGGCAUCAAACUGGUAGGAGUGGGAUGGAUUGAGGUUGCCCUCCCUUGACAACUUUAGUUUAAAGACUUUUUCGUGAGCUUGACUGAUUACAACUGUUGCUGUUGAAUUGCAUAAGGUAGAGCUAGCUAUAAAUGGCUGAGGUUAUAGCCCUUUGAGGCAUAUGCAAUGAAAAAAGUAAAGAAAGAGAGAAAACUUGGAGAUCCUGGAAGGAGAAUAAUGGGAUUAAGAAUAUGGGCAUAAGAAGUUGAAGGUUGAGAUUUUCAUCUAACAUUUAAGCGACAAAUGACAAGGCCCUUUAUGACACUGAUUGCUAAAACUCAUUUUGCCACGAAAGUAGCAAGUCUUGCACUAGGUCAGAUCAAAGGUCCAUAGAAUCAUAGAAUCAUAAAAUAGAUAGGGCUUGAAGGGACCUUAAAGCUCAUCCAGUUCCAACCCCCUGCCACGGGCAGGGACACCUUCCACUAGAGCAGGUUGCUCCAAGCCCCUGUGUCCAACCUGGCCUUGAACACUGCCAGGGAUGGGGCAGCCACAGCUUCUCUGGGCAACCUGUGCCAGGGCCUCACCACCCUCACAGUAAAGAACUUCUUCCUUAUAUCUACCCUGAACUUCCCCUGUUUAAGUUUGAACCCAUUACCCCUUGUCCUAUCACUAGAGUCCCUGAUGAAGAGUCCCUCUCUGGCAACCUUAUAGGCCCUCUUCAGAUAUUGGAAGGCUGCUCUGAGGUCUCCACACAGCUUUUCUUCUCCAGGCUGAACAGCCCCAAUGUUCUCAGCCUGUCUUCAUACGGGAGGUGGUCCAGCCCCUUAUCAUCCUUGUGGCCCUCCUCUGAACUUUCUCCAACAGCUCCAUGUCCCUCUUGUGUUGGAGACACCAGAACUGCAGUUGCAAUGAAGAAUGCUUAAGGAAGGGGUCAAGAUCAUAGCAUUUACCAAUAAUGAAGUGAUUUCUUUUUCCUUUCUUUCUUUCAUUUCCCUCCCCCCCCCCCACCCCCCCAUUUUUUUAAUACCCUCUAAAAAUUUUCCAGUUUAGGAAAAAAUUUUAAUACCCUCUAAAAAUUUUCCAGUUUUCCUGAGCUGGAGGUGAUGCUCUGGUACUUCAUAAUGCUUUGUGGAUGUCUCUUCCGUUAACUUGACCAGCUGCUUUUUGAACGUGCUGGGAACCACAGCUUAGUUUCUUACAUUAUGAAGAACCACUUUGGUUUGCUUGUUUUCUAUCUAUCUGCCAUCUACUACCUUAAUUUGUGUCCCUACUGCUUGAAUUGGAAGAGGCACUGGACCGUUGGUCCCUAACCAUCCUCUUUGUGUCAGUGAUUUAAGAGAAAAAUGUUUUGAUGUCCCCAUAGCUAUUUGUUUUCCAAGCUGAAUAAUCCUCUUUGGGUACUUUCUACAAUGUCAUUGUUUUGCGGCAAAAGAGUCAGAAUUAUAAAGUGGCUCAUGUUCUUGCAUAAAGAUGAGAGUAUUAGUUCUGUUUUCCCUUUUUGUUACUUUUUUUUUACUACCUCUGAAUACUGAUAUGAAAAUUUUCAUAUAUUAUCCAUGAUAACAAAAUACAAUUCCUGGGUUGUAAUGGUCAACUCAAAGCUCAUAUUUGUGUAUGACUGUUUCUCUGCACCCCUUGUCUGUGUCAUUUUACAUUUAUCUACCCUGACCUUAUCUGAAAUUAUUUCAGUCCCAUAACCAUCGGCAGCAAAAUUUCCCACUCCAGUGUUCCUCUUGUUUAUCAGAUCAUUGAUGAGUGCCUGGAACAACAACGGUCCUGGCACAUAAGUCUGAGAUUCCCUGGGGGACCCCACCACCAUAACACAGUAUUGUUUAGUCUUGAAAUUUUCUUAAAAGAUUUCUGUAAGGGGGUGUGGAAGUGUCUGCUCCUUUGGGGGUAUCUGGUCAAGAACUUUCUCAAUGCAAAAUGGGAGAACAAGAAAAGAAGGAAGCCAUAAACAAGAACAUAAAGAGGCACAGACCUGACUGUUGAAUGGUUAGGGAGGCAGUGAUGAGAUAUAAACCUGGUCAGUCGCACUAAUUGAUGAGGAGACAUUUAUUUCAGUAGGACUAUCUGAUCAAGGCUCUUGUCAAAUGGGAUAGCAAGAAAAAGUGGGAAGCCAUAAACAAAAUGUGGAGACGCAAACUUGACAGGCAAACAUGACACUGACAAAGACAAGAAACAACCUGGCUCUAAUAAACUAUAGGCAAACUGAGACUUUGCAACUGAUGAGGAUGCAAACCUGAGGGUCCAGAAUGUUGGAAAGGGAUCCCUGGAGCUGUGAAAACUAAUGAAGGAAUGUGCAGGGGAAGGGCAUCUGGAAGAGCAAAGGAGGAAUAGGCAGAAUGGGGUGUAAAAGGGACCAUGGAUGUGCAUGUGCUUGUGCAUCCAGAGAGCCUCAUGUGUGUGCCUGCACCAGUGACCUGUCUCUGCCAGCCCAAGAGGAGCUGCCAGUGCUUGUGUGUGGUGUGGCUCCUGCGUGUAGGUACCGUUGAAAGCAGUGCCUCAUCUGUGGCAGUGCCUGUGACUGGCCAAGUCAGUGUCCCGUGUGGGUCUCUAGGGCACGUGCUCAGCUUCACUGCUGGCUGAUCCUGCACAUGGGAAGGUGGCAGCCACGUCCCCCUUCCUGGACAGGUACACUGGGUCCCCAGGCACCGGCCUGGGCUCCAGCAGCUGGGCAGGGGUCCUGGGCUGGAGCUGCAAGUGGUGACAGCCACUCCUAACACCCCUUAACAUUUUUUAGCCAUAAAAAGACUUCUUUUCUCUCUAUGGUGGCUCAAUUUAUUUAAGACUUUUUGAUGAGGCACCUUGUUUUCAGAAAUGUUUUCAGAAAUCCUAAUAACCUUAAGACCAGCUGUAUUCCCCCAUCUUCACGCCUGCUGACUCCUUAGGAUGUCUCCAGUAGUUCUGUGAGCCCUGACUUCUCUUUACAAAAAACAUACUUCCCAAUAUAUCAUAUAUUCCAAACCUGUCUGCAUGAUUGUAGCUUCCUCUGUUUGCAGCAUGCAGAGGGGAGGUUUGUCAGUCUGCACUUUUCUGGAUUUUCACUAGAAGUAGGUUAAAAAUUUUCAAAAAUGUUUAUCACCUUCAAGUCUUUAUGUGCACAGGACACUUAACGGAAAUACCAGAUCUGCCCUGCAUAUGCUCUUCCUGCUCUUGGCUUUUAAAAAGAGGAUUAUUUUUAGUGUCCGCACUUCUUGCAAAUUAACGCUCAAACUCUUUUUUGGCCUGCCUUAGUGUGCUUUCACAUUUAACCUGCCAACUUGUGUGAUUCUUUAUAUUUUACUCAUUUGAACACAGCUUUGACUUACCAAAAGAUUCCUCCAACUGCCCUUUUCAUUCUGCCUGGACGUGCUGGCUUCCUUUCACCAUUUCUCAGGCCCUUCAGAAAAACAUGAAUAUGCAAAGAUGAUCUGCUAUGUCUCAAAGCGCUGUCUUUACAUAGCAUUCUAUCUACCACAAAUACUCUAACUCAUGUAUUUUUAGCACUAUUCUAACCUAUUGAAUUCUUAUUAUCAAGUUCUUUCUUUUUCUUUUUCUUUUUUUUUUUUAGUGUAUUUUUAAGUUAUUCCUUGGUUCUGAUGGUUAGAACCAAGUCAAAAGAUACUUCUUAUCCUGGAGGAUUCUACACUAACUUCUUAAUAUUAGGUAUGAUUUUAUUCUUUAAAAAAAUCAUAAGAAUCCUAAUUUUAUAUUGGCCUGUAAAUCCUAAUGAAAAGAAAAAAAACCCUUUGCUCGAGUGCACGUUAGGGUUUUUUCUCCCCAGAACUUGGAAGUGCUGAGUUAAGUAAAAGCUUAGCCAUAGCCCAACAUAUAUGGUCUGUUAUAUAUAAGACAUAUGCCAUAUGUUCUGUAUACCAUAUAUGUUAAAUAUAAUGUAUGUUGCAUACAAUACAUAAUAUAAAUGCUGUAUUAUAUAUUCUGUAUAACAUUACAUAUACACAAAAAUAUAUACACACACAAUAGAGGCAACAUAUAGUGUAUGCUGUGUGUUAUAUAUACUACUUAUGAUAUAUGAUAUAUAUAGUGUAUAUAUAUAUUUGUAGGACUGGCUAUAUAAACUCCAUUACCUAUGGCUUUUAUUGUUUAGUUUGCUGAGAUUCCAAUGUCCAUUCUUGAAAGUAGGCUAUAUGCAGAUACACUGCUCUGCACCAAAGGAACAGAGCAGCACUGGGCUGUGGGAUAGUACUGAUGCUUCCUUGAGAAUUCGACUUCAGCUCUGACCAGCAAAUCCCAUCCUGCCCUGCUGUAAGGUUGCCAUGCCUCAUCAGAAUGAGCCAGAAGAUGUUAACCCACCACCCUGCUGCUUACAGAGCUGUCCUACACAGCUUUUCUCCUGUUUGACUCAAUCUCUGACACAAGAAGCUCUUCUUUCUGUAGACCACCACGGAUGCGCAGAAUGCGUUAACCUCUGCCUGGGUAGUAUUCUGAUGAACCGAGGCAGCUGGAAGAAGCAACUACUCAUUUUAAAAGUUAUAAAGACAAAUAAAUCCUCACAAUUGAAGGCACAAGAGGCAUAACUUCCCCCAGUACUUCCAAUACUAGAAGACAAAGCUGCAUAUGUGAACUUCAGUAAGCAUGAAAGCAAUUGGCCUGAACUGAGACCUUUGAGGGGACAGAUAAGGUAUGACGCGUGCCUGAUUUGGUUUCCUUAAACCUAGCAAAGGCAGCUGGCUCUGCAAGACCUGGUGCUGCACUGACUGGAGGAGGCACCCCCCCCCCCACUGCUUCUGACAUAUGUGUGAUUGGUUCAUGUUUCAGUACCACCCUAUUAACAACUUUCAUGAUCUAUGCAUAUUAAUUUAGUCAUAAAUAAAAUAUUUGUUUGCUUUUUUGCUGGUCAUAAGCCAGCUUUUGAAAGAGUACCUUUAUUUGCGGGUACCUUUAUUUGCAAGUACCUUUCCCUCAAAUUGCUCCUGUGUAAACAUGUAAAUGAUGGCCUACAUCUUCUGUCAAGAAUUGCAAGGGGUUACUUUUUUUCAGUACAAGAUUUUGCAUCUUGUGUUGAUGACUUCGUUUGGAUGUAGGGAAACUUGGAUGUUUCCCUAACAAUGGACU
Molecule: long non-coding RNA, 5698 nt
Organism: Strigops habroptila (Kakapo)
Lineage: Eukaryota; Metazoa; Chordata; Aves; Psittaciformes; Psittacidae
Exons: 4
Source: RefSeq, a predicted model, not a curated record